UACGUAGGGGCCGAGCGUUGUCCGGAGUUAUUGGGCGUAAAGCGCGCGCAGGCGGCUUCGCGCGCCCGCCGUGAAAGCCCCCGGCUUAACCGGGGAGAGUCGGUGGGGACGGCGGAGCUUGAGGGCGGGAGAGGUCGGUGGAAUUCCCGGUGUAGUGGUGAAAUGCGUAGAUAUCGAGAGGAACACCUGCGGCGAAGGCGGGUUGCUGGGCUGACACUGACGCUGAUUGUGCGAAAGCUAGGGGAGCGAACGGG
RNAcentral lists this ribosomal RNA (254 nucleotides) under uncultured bacterium. RNAcentral's name for it is "partial 16S ribosomal RNA". It matches the Rfam family "Bacterial small subunit ribosomal RNA", at positions 524 to 776 of the family's 1533-position model. The record is from RNAcentral.